Molecule: ribosomal RNA, 321 nt
Filed under: Triticum aestivum (bread wheat)
Lineage: Eukaryota; Viridiplantae; Streptophyta; Magnoliopsida; Poales; Poaceae
Description: partial small subunit ribosomal RNA
Source: RNAcentral
AUGCCCUUCAGAGAAAUGAUCCAUGGUGGAUUUAGGCCAGACAGCAUCACAUUCCUCGCAGCCCUUUCUGCCUGUAGCCAAGGCGGUCUCGUGGACGAAGGGCUUGCGAUCUUCCACUCCAUGGUCGAGGAUCAUUGUGUUAAGCCACAGAGGGAGCAUUGUGCUUGCAUUGUUGAUCUGUUAGGACACACCAGCAGAUUGGAAGAAGCAGAGGGAUUAAUCAGAGCCGUGGGGCUGGAAAUCGACUCAUUGGCAUGGGAAUCGCUUCUAGGUGCUUGUGCUUUACAUGGGGAAGUCGAGCUGGGAAGGUCAUGGAACUAG